RNAcentral lists this ribosomal RNA (618 nucleotides) under uncultured bacterium. RNAcentral's name for it is "bacterial SSU rRNA". The stretch from base 1 to 521 matches the Rfam family "Bacterial small subunit ribosomal RNA", at positions 338 to 873 of the family's 1533-position model. The record is from RNAcentral.
CCUACGGGAGGCAGCAGUGGGGAAUAUUGCACAAUGGGCGAAAGCCUGAUGCAGCGACGCCGCGUGAGGGAUGACGGCCUUCGGGUUGUAAACCUCUUUCAGCAGGGAAGAAGCGAGAGUGACGGUACCUGCAGAAGAAGCGCCGGCUAACUACGUGCCAGCAGCCGCGGUAAUACGUAGGGCGCAAGCGUUGUCCGGAAUUAUUGGGCGUAAAGAGCUCGUAGGCGGCUUGUCACGUCGGGUGUGAAAGCCCGGGGCUUAACCCCGGGUCUGCAUUCGAUACGGGCUAGCUAGAGUGUGGUAGGGGAGAUCGGAAUUCCUGGUGUAGCGGUGAAAUGCGCAGAUAUCAGGAGGAACACCGGUGGCGAAGGCGGAUCUCUGGGCCAUUACUGACGCUGAGGAGCGAAAGCGUGGGGAGCGAACAGGAUUAGAUACCCUGGUAGUCCACGCCGUAAACGGUGGGAACUAGGUGUUGGCGACAUUCCACGUCGUCGGUGCGCNGCUACGACAUAGUUCCCGUCCCGUCGGGAGGUACGGCCGCGACGACGUAAACGUUAAACGUAGUAAGUUAGUACGGUUCGUUGUAGACGUUGCCGACGGCGACGACGAGGGAGGAGG